RNAcentral lists this long non-coding RNA (1384 nucleotides) under Bemisia tabaci. RNAcentral's name for it is "lncRNA ENSSSA1UGG006389". The record is from RNAcentral. Lineage: Eukaryota; Metazoa; Arthropoda; Insecta; Hemiptera; Aleyrodidae.
GGAAAAAAUAAAAGGGGUGAAUUAUGAAACGGCUACUUGGCCAGGUUUCUAGUAUAAGACCUGCUGAAGAGUAUCUAAUAUAUAUUAUUUUUAUUUUUUAAAAUUUAAAAAAAAAAAACUGGUCGCUAAUUAGGUUUUUUAAUGUGUGUUUACAGGAGUGCGAAGGGCUGAAAAAUGCUAAUAGUGCUCUGUGGUUGGAUCAGAGUACUUAGCCUCAGCGAUCGCGAUGAAGACCAAAAAGUCAACCGUUGUUCCAGUCCGAGCGGAAAACGUGAAUCUAAAACUGGCUUGAAAGAAAACGGGCGCCAAAAUAAGUACACUAUUACACUUGAGGCCACAAAAACCAGUGUAUUAUGGCACCUUCAUUUUGUCUGUGUACGAGAGAAGCUCUUAUUUCAAUCAGAUACAGUUAAACUUUAAGAGCUUUAUUUAUUUACUUUUUUUAAACAGGAAUUAAAAAAGCUGAACGAUUUCCUGGUCAAUUUAAUGAAAAAAUCUUACUUAUGAAACUGCGCAACAUCAAGUUGUUAACAUUAUAUUUAUUUGAAUUCUCUGAGGAAAGAAUAAAACAUUUUUCACAACAAACCGAAUAUUUAUUAAAGCAAUUAAAUUAAUUACCACAGUUACACACCUGAGUAAACAAUGUUUGAUGUUUCGCAGGCUUGAAAGUGAAACAAACCUUCCAAACAAAGGAAAUUCUAAGGCAUUGCUUUGGUUUCAAUUUUUCCCCUUUGAAUGGGUGAGCAUUAGCCCCUGAACAUAUAUUAUUUGGCUUUUGGUCUUUAAACGUAAAAAAUAUUUCCAAACAAAGGAAAUUCUAUAUACAUUGCUUAAUUUAUAAUUCUUUGGAACGAGGGGCAUAAAUUACAAUACUAAAUUCAUAACAUUCAAAUGGGUUUGAAUAUUCGGAGGCUAUCAGAUCAUAUUUACACAGUGAACCAAAUGAUUAUUGAAACAAUUAAAUUUAAUAUCACAAUCGUACACCAGAACAGGUGAUGUUUGGUUACCUACUUGGCUUCACAGUAUAACAAGCCUUUCAAACAAAGGAAAUUGUACAUAUAUUGCGUAAGUAUAAAAUUUUUAUCUUUUUUUUUUUAAUGGAUGAGCAUAAAUUGGACAGAGUUUAUCAGAAAGGAACUAACCUAAAUAUUGCGAAAAAUUGAGUUGUUAAAGGUUUGGAGCUCAACAAGCUGAAUAUUUUCUUGUACCCAAAAUUCUUCGGCCUAAAAAAGAAUCUAGUUUGUGAAAAAAGGGGUCAAAAUUAAUUUUUUACAUGGAGUCACUUGGAAAAAUAAAAGUUAAAACCUCUUUUUUCCCAGUUUCAAAUUCUUGCCGGUUGGUUCCUUCCUGAUAAACUCAAUGAGCUUUACAAUAAACAAACCUU